RNAcentral lists this ribosomal RNA (500 nucleotides) under uncultured bacterium. RNAcentral's name for it is "partial 16S ribosomal RNA". It matches the Rfam family "Bacterial small subunit ribosomal RNA", at positions 899 to 1397 of the family's 1533-position model. The record is from RNAcentral.
ACUCAAAUGAAUUGACGGGGGCCCGCACAAGCGGUGGAGCAUGUGGUUUAAUUCGAUGCAACGCGAAGAACCUUACCUACCCUUGACAUCCUGCGAAGGGAGCCGAGAAGCUUCUGUGCCGAAAGGAACGCAGAGACAGGUGCUGCAUGGCUGUCGUCAGCUCGUGUUGUGAGAUGUUGGGUUAAGUCCCGUAACGAGCGCAACCCUUGUCCUUAGUUGCCAUCAAGUAAAGUUGGGGACUCUAAGGAGACUGCCGGUGAUGAACCGGAGGAAGGCGGGGACGACGUCAAGUCAUCAUGGCCUUUAUGGGUAGGGCUACACACGUGCUACAAUGGGUCGUACAGAGGGUAGCCAACCCGCGAGGGGGAGCCAAUCUCUAAAAGCGACUCGUAGUCCGGAUUGGAGUCUGCAACUCGACUCCAUGAAGUUGGAAUCGCUAGUAAUCGCGAAUCAGCAACGUCGCGGUGAAUACGUUCCCGGGCCUUGCACACACCGCCCGU